AGAGACUGAGCAGCUCCAAGCACCAAAAAUAACCACAGAGGAAAAGAUAACAGGGAGCAGAGCCAAGCUUGAUUCCAUCCUGAAGUGGCUUCCCCAUGAAAGACAGCAGUAAUUAGAAAGAGAGAAAUCUUACAGGCAAAGGCUAUUCGACAUUUGGGAUUCCUAAGCUAAUCUUUUUAUUUUUGGAAGGGUGUCUUUCUGAGAAAGGCAGCCAGAGGCACAGCACCAACCUUUCUGACAGUGUGGUCUUCACACUGUUAGUUCUGACAAAGGGAGUCAAGGAGUCGUCCUUGGAGGAGGCGAUGAGGCCAGUGGAAGAAUUGUGGCUGGGGACCCCUCCACUGCUGAGGGAGAUGUCGAUGGACUCACAGCUGGUGUGGAGGCUGCUGACAGACUGAAAGCCCAGGCCAUCCUUGCUAACUGCGGAGGAGCUGCUGGCGUUGGUGCCCCAGGGCCAAGACAGCCCCGGCCUCUUACCAGUUCCUGGGGUCUUCAGUGCGCCUGCCGGGGCUGAAGGCUUCGUCCUUGGCAUGGUGAUGCCCACCUGAGCUGUCAUGCCUCGCCGCCAUGAGCCUGUCUGGGAGAUGACAGGAUUCUUCUUGCCCGACGUGCUUUUGUCGGACUCGUCAGACACAUCAGAAGGAUUCCGCCUCCACUUGGAACCUGGCUCCAUUUUUAUGCCGCUGUCUGAGCCUCCGUCUGAUUUCUUGACAUCAUCACCAGACCACAGGGAAUUCCUCUCCACCUCUAAGUAUUAGUCACUAGAGAUAUGAGGAGGACAAACACACACUGCCUGGCUAUGAGAAGCUCAUCAUUCAGCUGUGGCAAGGGACAGAGAGAGGGGAGUUCCUACAUGUGGGCACAGGGCAGGAGCUCACUCAAAGCUUGAUGAGCGAAUGAAUGAGCCUAGGAAGGAGCCAAGGAACACACGCUUUUCAGGCCACAACAGACAUUAGCAAAAUUAUCUUAUCCGAUCUCAGCCUCUAUUUAAUCAGAAAGGGUAAGUACACAAGUACUCAAGUACUGUUAUCUUUAUCUCAAUCUUACAGAAACUAAAGUUGCCCAUUCUUUGUCCCAACUACCUCAGGUCAGUUUCCUUCCUCUAAACACUUCCAGUACAUUCAUCCAACCAGAAUUUACUCCAUGCUUGCUGUCUGCCAGGCACCACGGAGGGUCAGAGAAUCUGGGGAUAAGACUGAUUUCCCACCCAUGGUGGAGCUUACGAUCCAGUGAAACAGGCAGAGAUAGAAUAAAUAAACACAAACAAGGGUGUAAUUGUAGACUACGAAGACUAUUAUAAGGAAAAAGACAAAAAGUCUGAGAAAUAAAUAUAGACAUUGACCUAAUUUAGAUGACAAUGAGGUGGGUAGGCGACAGUGAUCAGUUCAAAAAGAAGUACCCUAAAGAAAGAAAAGAAACUUACUUAGUAAAAGAAGAGUUUGGGGCAGAGCAUACCAGGGAGAGGGAACCACAUGUAUAAAGGUCCUGAGGCAGAAAAUAACUUGGCUUUGGAACAUUCACUUCACAAAUAUUUAUUGGGUGCCACUACGUGCCAGGAAAGCUUAUUCGCACUAGGAAUACUGCAAUGAACAAGUAUAAAUCAUUAACCUCAUGGAGCUUACAUUCAAGUACAUUUUAACAUAUUCUAAUAUGCUCUAAGAGGUACUGAAAAUUUAGCACAUGCCACAUCCUGGGUUACUGCAUUAUUUAUUCUUUUAAUGUUCCUAUACUUAUUUCCCCCCAAUCAAACUGUAAUGGUGCUAAUACUAGUAGCAUAACAACUACAAUUUAUUGAGUACUUACUACGUCCCAGGCACUAAGCUAAAGUGUUUGAUAUGUAUCAUUAAAUUUAAUCCUUAUCAAAAACCUAUGAGGAAAUUACAGUUAAUAGUCUCAAUUUUACAUGACAAAACUGAGGCAAACAGUGAAAAGAAAAUUUCCCAAGAUCACAUAGUGAGGAAGUAGAGAUGCAGGGAAUUCAGGGAGUCUAACUGCAGAGCCCACAUUUUAACCACCAUGCCACACUGCCCUCCCUAAGGAUAAGUCGAGGUAUAUGAUACAUUUGUGCAUACUCAGUAGCACCUAAUAGCUAUACCCAGCAGAUUCUCCUUCCAUACUGGCAGGCUCCCCAACCCCAGUUCUAGAGCAGCUCUAGCUUAGCCUCUAGGUGGGACCCAUACAACUCCAUUUCCAUCAGUGGCAGAGACAGCGCACAUGCCCCUGGCCUGGGAAUGUGGCUUGACUUUCUCUCUCUGGAAAGAACAAUCAUCCAGCCAUCACAUCUCCCUAGCUUGGUCCAGGGUGGUCACCUUCCCAGCUCUACUCUGAAUCCUUCAUGAGCUACAUGCCGGACUAUAAGGUGGCACCCCUUGGGAUUAAAAAACGAGAAAGUCCCAGCCUCUCUGUUCCUGGAGCUCGCAACAGCGGAACCAGCCAACAGGACAUCCACAUGGGGACGUACGAAGAGUUCUAUCCUGCCUUCCCCUCCAUGCCUCGGCCAGUUGUUUCCAUCUCAAUGGUACCUCCUUUCUGAAGGGUUUUCUUCUGCCUGUUCUUGGAAGUCUAUGUAGUCAUUCGAUAUCCACAUGGGAAGGUGAGGAAAGAAGCCACGCACAAGGGACUUCAGAAGGGAGGCCAGUCUUCUGAGAGCAAGAGGUGAGGCCUGAGGAGCAUGAUGUGGGGGAAGAGUGUGGGCUUUGGGUCUGACAGAUCUGGGUUCAAGUGUUCGGUGCUGCCACUCAUUUGCUGUGCAUGACCUUGGAAGACAUUGCCCUACUUAUCUGAACUUAUUAACUCAUGUAUAAAACAUGGAUGAUAAAUAGGUCUCUUACAGCAUUGAUGGUGAACUCAGUGAACUCAGUGUGGGGGGACUCAAUAAACAGUGGUUCUAUUCAUUACCAACUUUCCUGCCUCUGAAAAUCCCCAGCACUCUGUUGUCCAUCUUUAGCAUUUAUCCUGCCUUUGUCUUGCAUUAUGGGAGAACAGGUACUUGUCUCUUCUGCCACUGGGCCACAGGCCUUUGGAAGGCAGGGAUAUUCCCUCCCUGUGCCAUAUCCCUUGCGGAUCUAGAUGCUGAGCUGGCUCAAGUUUAAGCCCCAGUGACCAUGGAGAUAAUUAUCUGCAUCAACAUCAUCGCCUGCCAGUCAUCCUGCCAGGCACUGUGUCCCUCCACAUACAUCCUGAACUCAUCUUAUCCUCUCAGGCUGUGUUAUUAUCCACAUUUUACACAUCAGGAAAAUACAGGGCUGAAGAGGAAAAGUAACUUACCCAGCGGGUGAGCAGAAGGGGGCACCCCUCCUCACCCCCAGCCAAACCCCAUCCCUACAUCCAUGCCAACAUCUAGAGAGCUCUAGGGUCACUCAAGGCCACACAAGACAGGAAUCCUUGCCACAUAAUUCAGAAUUUUAUUUCCCUGAGUAGCAAAAAAUAAACUGACAUGGAAUUAUCUUUUUCCUCCGCAUAUGUUAUUAAACAUUUCACAGGCAUUGAAAAUGAGAGGAAAUCUUGAUGUGUGCAUCUUUGCUCCUCAGCACCUGGGAUGGUGCCUUCCACAGAACUGAGAGAAAAUACUGAAUGUACAGAUGAAUAUGUGAGGGAGUUGCGUGUGUUUGUUAAAGCCCUUUGCCACCAACAUCUGUCCUCAAAAUAAAAUACUGCAAAGUAAGAUGAGUUGCUUUGAGACUACAAACAAAAUAUAUUAAGAACGUAGUCAACCUUUAGUUAACUGCCAUGAAUGGAGGCUGGAGGCAGAGGAACAGUUAACCCA
This 3766-nucleotide long non-coding RNA is filed under the name Homo sapiens (human). RNAcentral's name for it is "HSALNT0361743". Lineage: Eukaryota; Metazoa; Chordata; Mammalia; Primates; Hominidae. The record is from RNAcentral.